This 253-nucleotide ribosomal RNA is filed under the name uncultured bacterium. Its description in RNAcentral is "partial 16S ribosomal RNA". It matches the Rfam family "Bacterial small subunit ribosomal RNA", at positions 524 to 776 of the family's 1533-position model. The record is from RNAcentral.
UACGUAGGGGGCAAGCGUUGUCCGGAAUCAUUGGGCGUAAAGAGCGUGUAGGCGGCUCGAUAAGUCUGCUGUGAAAGUCCAGGGCUCAACCCUGGGAUGCCGGUGGAUACUGUCGGGCUAGAGUACGGAAGAGGCGAGUGGAAUUCCCGGUGUAGCGGUGAAAUGCGCAGAUAUCGGGAGGAACACCAAUUGCGAAGGCAGCUCGCUGGGACGUCACUGACGCUGAGACGCGAAAGCGUGGGGAGCAAACAGG